This 237-nucleotide long non-coding RNA is filed under the name Medicago truncatula (barrel medic). Its description in RNAcentral is "long non-coding RNA (MTRU_LNC006224)". The record is from RNAcentral. Lineage: Eukaryota; Viridiplantae; Streptophyta; Magnoliopsida; Fabales; Fabaceae.
AACAAAUCUUAGUCUUUUCAAAUGUAAAUAAAUAGGUUAUUUGCAAGAAACUCAUUGUACAUUUAAUUUGUCUAUGACUAUUGUUUUGAUCAUUUUUAUUGUUGAAAAAGGUUUCUUUAUUGUUGUUAUUGAGACGGGAAGUAUCAAACCAAUACAAACAUAGCUAUAAAGUGUGUGGUGCUAGUGGGCUGAGAGCGUGUGGGUCUACAAUUGUAUUACUUUAUUUGUUAAAUAAAC